UGGGGAAUAUUGGACAAUGGGCGAAAGCCUGAUCCAGCCAUGCCGCGUGUGUGAAGAAGGUCUUCGGAUUGUAAAGCACUUUAAGUUGGGAGGAAGGGCAUUAACCUAAUACGUUAGUGUUUUGACGUUACCGACAGAAUAAGCACCGGCUAACUCUGUGCCAGCAGCCGCGGUAAUACAGAGGGUGCAAGCGUUAAUCGGAAUUACUGGGCGUAAAGCGCGCGGAGGUGGUUUGUUAAGUUGGAUGUGAAAGCCCCGGGCUCAACCUGGGAACUGCAUCCAAAACUGGCAAGCUAGAGUACGGUAGAGGGUGGUGGAAUUUCCUGUGUAGCGGUGAAAUGCGUAGAUAUAGGAAGGAACACCAAUGGCGAAGGCGACCACCUGGACUGAUACUGACACUGAGGUGCGAAAGCGUGGGGAGCAAACA
RNAcentral lists this ribosomal RNA (427 nucleotides) under uncultured bacterium. RNAcentral's name for it is "partial 16S ribosomal RNA". It matches the Rfam family "Bacterial small subunit ribosomal RNA", at positions 355 to 774 of the family's 1533-position model. The record is from RNAcentral.